Molecule: ribosomal RNA, 998 nt
Filed under: uncultured bacterium
Lineage: Bacteria
Description: bacterial SSU rRNA
Rfam family: Bacterial small subunit ribosomal RNA
Source: RNAcentral
UGGGGAAUAUUGCACAAUGGAGGAAACUCUGAUGCAGCGACGCCGCGUGAGUGAAGAAGUAAUUCGUUAUGUAAAGCUCUAUCAGCAGGGAAGAUAGUGACGGUACCUGACUAAGAAGCUCCGGCUAAAUACGUGCCAGCAGCCGCGGUAAUACGUAGGUGGCGAGCGUUAUCCGGAUUUACUGGGUGUAAAGGGCGUGUAGGCGGGACUGCAAGUCAGAUGUGAAAACCAUGGGCUCAACCUGUGGCCUGCAUUUGAAACUGUAGUUCUUGAGUACUGGAGAGGCAGACGGAAUUCCUAGUGUAGCGGUGAAAUGCGUAGAUAUUAGGAGGAACACCAGUGGCGAAGGCGGUCUGCUGGACAGCAACUGACGCUGAGGCGCGAAAGCGUGGGGAGCAAACAGGAUUAGAUACCCUGGUAGUCCACGCUGUAAACGAUGGAUACUAGGUGUGGGGGGUCUGACCCCCUCCGUGCCGCAGUUAACACAAUAAGUAUCCCACCUGGGGAGUACGAUCGCAAGGUUGAAACUCAAAGGAAUUGACGGGGGCCCGCACAAGCGGUGGAGUAUGUGGUUUAAUUCGAAGCAACGCGAAGAACCUUACCAGGGCUUGACAUCCCGGUGACCGGUGUAGAGAUACACCUUCUUCUUCGGAAGCGCCGGUGACAGGUGGUGCAUGGUUGUCGUCAGCUCGUGUCGUGAGAUGUUGGGUUAAGUCCCGCAACGAGCGCAACCCUUAUUGUUAGUUGCUACGCAAGAGCACUCUAGCGAGACUGCCGUUGACAAAACGGAGGAAGGUGGGGACGACGUCAAAUCAUCAUGCCCCUUAUGUCCUGGGCCACACACGUACUACAAUGGUGGUCAACAGAGGGAAGCAAGACCGCGAGGUGGAGCAAACCCCUAAAAGCCAUCCCAGUUCGGAUUGCAGGCUGCAACUCGCCUGUAUGAAGUUGGAAUCGCUAGUAAUCGCGGAUCAGCAUGCCGCGGUGAAUACGUUCCC